This 497-nucleotide ribosomal RNA is filed under the name uncultured bacterium. Its description in RNAcentral is "partial 16S ribosomal RNA". It matches the Rfam family "Bacterial small subunit ribosomal RNA", at positions 36 to 507 of the family's 1533-position model. The record is from RNAcentral.
GCUGCCCCCUUUCUUCUUUCCUAAUACAUGCAAGUCGAGCGAACAGACGAGGAGCUUGCUCCUCUGACGUUAGCGGCGGACGGGUGAGUAACACGUGGAUAACCUACCUAUAAGACUGGGAUAACUUCGGGAAACCGGAGCUAAUACCGGAUAAUAUAUUGAACCGCAUGGUUCAAUAGUGAAAGACGGUUUUGCUGUCACUUAUAGAUGGAUCCGCGCCGCAUUAGCUAGUUGGUAAGGUAACGGCUUACCAAGGCAACGAUGCGUAGCCGACCUGAGAGGGUGAUCGGCCACACUGGAACUGAGACACGGUCCAGACUCCUACGGGAGGCAGCAGUAGGGAAUCUUCCGCAAUGGGCGAAAGCUUGACGGAGCAACGCCGCGUGAGUGAUGAAGGUCUUCGGAUCGUAAAACUCUGUUAUUAGGGAAGAACAAAUGUGUAAGUAACUAUGCACGUCUUGACGGUACCUAAUCAGAAAGCCACGGCUAACUACGUG